GACGAACGCUGGCGGCGUGCUUAACACAUGCAAGUCGAACGGAAAGGCCUUGCUUUUGUGGGGUGCUCGAGUGGCGAACGGGUGAGUAACACGUGAGUAACCUGCCCUUGACUUUGGGAUAACUUCAGGAAACUGGGGCUAAUACCGGAUAGGAGCUCCUGCUGCAUGGUGGGGGUUGGAAAGUUUCGGCGGUUGGGGAUGGACUCGCGGCUUAUCAGCUUGUUGGUGGGGUAGUGGCUUACCAAGGCUUUGACGGGUAGCCGGCCUGAGAGGGUGACCGGCCACAUUGGGACUGAGAUACGGCCCAGACUCCUACGGGAGGCAGCAGUGGGGAAUAUUGCACAAUGGGCGGAAGCCUGAUGCAGCAACGCCGCGUGCGGGAUGGCGGCCUUCGGGUUGUAAACCGCUUUCGCCUGUGACGAAGCGUGAGUGACGGUAAUGGGUAAAGAAGCACCGGCUAACUACGUG
RNAcentral lists this ribosomal RNA (468 nucleotides) under uncultured bacterium. RNAcentral's name for it is "partial 16S ribosomal RNA". It matches the Rfam family "Bacterial small subunit ribosomal RNA", at positions 28 to 507 of the family's 1533-position model. The record is from RNAcentral.